GUGGAGGCCCACAGCACCACAGCUCGACAAUACCUGUAGUUUGAACGUGCAUGAAAUCUCGUCCGUCCACGUGGAGACCCUCGAGAGCGUGGGAUUAGGGGUGGGAGGUUGGCUGCAAUUAUAAGCCAGAGUGGCCGUCUCCUUUGAGGAAAGAUUCUCCUUAGUCCGACUGUCGUUUUAGGCUUUUAGGGUUGUCGUAUGAGAUUCUUCUGUAUAUAAAUCGAACGCUGAGAAAUUGACAGCCACCCUCAUUUGGCUGAAGGCUUGGAUUGGAGAAGAGAAAUCCCAUCGGGGCCGCUUGGGGGGCAAGAGAGAGAGCUGUUUGGGAAGUGAGAAAAUUUUACAGCUUUUAGAAAAGAAAAUGGAGAUGUUGAAGGUUCAAUUCUUUGUGGUGGCAGUUUUUGCCCUUGCUAUCUCUCUCCUUCUCCCUUCCAUCAAUGCUCAAAGCCUUGCUCCUGCUCCUGCCCCAACAAGCGAUGGGGUGGCAGUGGAUCAAGGAAUUGCUUAUGGGUUGAUGGUUUUGGCAUUGCUCCUCACCUACAUUAUUCACUGAUGAAUCUGGAUGACCAUUUUUGGAGAAAUCAAGAUGGAUGAUUUUAUAGAGAGAGAGAGAGAGAGAGAGAUUAAUUCUUCAAGAAACAUGUGAAGGGAAUUGUUGUUGCAUCUUCUUCUUGCUAGGCUUUUGCUAGCUAGCUAAGCUAUGUUCUUGUUCGUUUGUUGCUAGGCCUUUUCUUCUCUUAUCCUCUGUUAACAUGAUC
Molecule: long non-coding RNA, 758 nt
Organism: Pyrus x bretschneideri (Chinese white pear)
Lineage: Eukaryota; Viridiplantae; Streptophyta; Magnoliopsida; Rosales; Rosaceae
Exons: 2
Source: RefSeq, a predicted model, not a curated record